UACGGGGUGCAGCAGCCGCGGUAACUUUGCAAUACACGAAAGUGUGACAGGGCUAUCCCGAGUGCCGUCCGCUGAGGAUGGCUUUUAACCAGUCUAGAAAGCUGGUAGAAUAAGGAGAGGGCAAGUCUGGUGUCAGCCGCCGCGGUAA
This 148-nucleotide ribosomal RNA is filed under the name uncultured archaeon. RNAcentral describes it as "partial 16S ribosomal RNA". It matches the Rfam family "Archaeal small subunit ribosomal RNA", at positions 324 to 473 of the family's 1478-position model. The record is from RNAcentral.